AGCCGGGGUGGUAGCGGUACCCUGCACCAGCAAUCCGCUAUAGCUGGGGUGAUAUCAAACAGAGGCUUUCAGGCAGUGGAGCUGCCCUUCAUAAGUGGCGUUGAAGUCUGGGUCUUACGCAACAGGAAUUUACGAACCGGGUCAGGUCAGGAAUGGAGCAGCCCUAAGUAAAAGCUCUUGUGUGCCGUGAGGGUGCCUGGGCCGAGCAGGCUGUGGAGGUAACGUCUAAGGUUUGGAGUCGACGGGCGAUGCUC
This 254-nucleotide signal recognition particle RNA is filed under the name uncultured Roseburia sp. RNAcentral describes it as "Bacterial large signal recognition particle RNA". It matches the Rfam family "Bacterial large signal recognition particle RNA". Rfam says of the family: The signal recognition particle (SRP) is a universally conserved ribonucleoprotein involved in the co-translational targeting of proteins to membranes. Archaeal SRP consists of a 7S RNA and homologues of the eukaryotic SRP19 and SRP54 proteins. Lineage: Bacteria; Bacillati; Bacillota; Clostridia; Lachnospirales; Lachnospiraceae. The record is from RNAcentral.